This 253-nucleotide unclassified non-coding RNA is filed under the name uncultured Flavobacteriaceae bacterium. RNAcentral's name for it is "contains 16S-23S intergenic spacer region". It matches the Rfam family "Bacterial small subunit ribosomal RNA", at positions 524 to 776 of the family's 1533-position model. Lineage: Bacteria; Pseudomonadati; Bacteroidota; Flavobacteriia; Flavobacteriales; Flavobacteriaceae. The record is from RNAcentral.
UACGGAGGAUCCAAGCGUUAUCCGGAAUCAUUGGGUUUAAAGGGUCCGUAGGCGGGUCAAUCAGUCAGUGGUGAAAGUCUGCAGCUUAACUGUAGAAUUGCCAUUGAUACUGUUGACCUUGAGUAAUUAUGAAGUGGUUAGAAUAUGUGGUGUAGCGGUGAAAUGCAUAGAUAUUACACAGAAUACCGAUUGCGAAGGCAGAUCACUAAUAAUAGAUUGACGCUGAUGGACGAAAGCGUAGGUAGCGCACCGG